GGAGGGAUCAUUAACACGUUUCCAAAAAAAACGUUUCCAAAAACCAAACCGUGAACUUAGAAACAAACUCCCUUGACAAUGUGAACGAACGAAUAGCUAGGUGGAGUGGGAUACGGUACUUUCGAGUACCCCCCGCUGCGACGCGUUCUAGGAGCCUUUGAGCUUCAUUCACUUGUUGAGUGCAAUGACGCCACCACCUGGGAGACUAAACGUCUCCACCUUCAUUGGGGUAACCCAGUGCAUGCGUGCGAGCUCCGUUUAGCAUUCUUCCGAAUCCUUUUUUUCACAACAUUUUUUAACCCCAUUAAAACUCAUACUAAUAACUGAACCUUUUUUUCUAUAUGUCUUAAUUGAUAUAUGAAAAAGAUAUACGUAAUGCUGAACAACUCUUAGCAAUGGAUAUCUUGGUUCUCGUAACGAUGAAGAACGCAGCGAAAUGCGAUACGUAAUGCGAAUUGCAGAAUUCAGUGAAUCAUCAAAUCUUUGAACGCAAAUGGCGCUCUCGGGAUAUGCCCGGGAGCAUGCCUCUCUGAGUAUCGGUUCUAACUCUCAACGCCAGCGUGCUUUGUUUCGGCAUUGCACACAACUGGGCAGUUGGAAAAUGAGAGUCUAGUAGCGCAAGCAAACUAGUCUCUUGAAACCGAUAGAAGCUUGGAUAGCACUAGUCAGCGCUGUUUCCAUUUCCGGAUGGAUGCAGAUAGCUUGUCAUCGACAAGGCACGCUUGAGCUUAGUGACGUGGAUAGAAGUACCACUUGUUGGUCUUUCAAAACGUUGCGAUAGCAUGAGCGAGCUGAUGACAAGUGAAUGAGUAGGAAUGUUAACCAUAGCUUGUCAAACGAAUUCAAAGGGCAUAUGCUGUAAUGUUAACUCAUUGUGUGCAUGCGUUUCCUUUGUUUUGAAUUAGAUCUCAGAUGAAGCAAGAGGACCCCCUGAAUUUAAGCAUAUUAUUAAGGGGAGGAAAAGAAACUAACAAGGAUUCCCCUAGUAACGGCGAGUGAAGCGGGAAGUAGCUCAAUCUGGGAAUCGAGAGUGGAAAGCCACGCCUCGAGAUGUAUCCUAGAGACGUGUUAUCAGCGUGUGACCUCGAUAUAAAUCUUUUGAAACAAGGUAUCAUAGAGGGUGAGAAUCCCGUCUUUGAUCGAGAGUUCGCCGCGUACGAUACAUGUUCAACGAGUCGAGUUGUUUGGGAUUGCAGCUCUAAAUGGGUGGUAAAUUUCAUCUAAAGCUAAAUAACGACGAGAGACCGAUAGCGAACAAGUACCGUGAGGGAAAGAUGAAAAGAACUUUGAAAAGAGAGUUAAAAAGUACUUGAAAUUGUUAAGAGGGAAGCGCUAGCAAGCAGUCAUGACGGGGUGCUAUACUCACUGACGCACAUCGAAAAUGUAUGCGGACCAGAUCGCAAGACUGUGUCGGUGCAUGGACGAAUGGGUGUUGGGCAUGUAGUAUCUCGUGGGUCAGAGUCAAUUCGAAGCGUGGCUGAAGGUGUAUGGAAAGGUAGGGUCCCCGGACCUGUUAUAGUCUGUACAUUGUACCAUGCUUUGGAUUGAGGUAUUGAUAACGGACGCCGCAAGGUUUCGGCUGGGUGCGCCUGCUGGGUGGGUCGGCUUGGAGGACAAUGUCCUGCUGGUUGGCUUUCAAUUCGGUACUGCGUAUCUAUGUCAGAUGUCCGUUGGCGAUUCUGACGAAAUGCUUGCUAUCGACCCGUCUUGAAACACGGACCAAGGAGUCUAACAUAUAUGCGAGUAUUUGGGUGCCAAACUCGAAUGCGUAAUGAAAGUAAAGAUAGCUUCGGCUAUUGUGGUAGGAAAGGUGUUACAGCCUGGCACUAUCGACCGAUCGUCACUUGUGAUUGAUUUGAGUGCGAGCAUAUCUGUUGGGACCCGAAAGAUGGUGAUCUAUGCCUGAACAGGGUGAAGCCAGGGGAAACUCUGGUGGAGGCUCGUAGCGAUACUGACGUGCAAAUCGUUCGUCUGAUUUGGGUAUAGGGGCGAAAGACUAAUCGAACCAUCUAGUAGCUGGUUCCCUC
Molecule: unclassified non-coding RNA, 2027 nt
Filed under: uncultured fungus
Lineage: Eukaryota; Fungi
Description: sequence contains 18S rRNA gene, ITS1, 5.8S rRNA gene, ITS2, 28S rRNA gene
Rfam family: Eukaryotic large subunit ribosomal RNA (bases 904-2027)
Source: RNAcentral